This 426-nucleotide ribosomal RNA is filed under the name Triticum aestivum (bread wheat). Its description in RNAcentral is "partial small subunit ribosomal RNA". Lineage: Eukaryota; Viridiplantae; Streptophyta; Magnoliopsida; Poales; Poaceae. The record is from RNAcentral.
AUGUGCCAUAUAGUGAGACAUUUGGUUACCCUAAGAUCGGAGAACAAAAAUACAAAUACACGGAAGCUGCGUGAGGAAGAGAGAGUAUUUAUGGAGUUUGCGGGCCUGCUUGUUGAUAUUGUUUCCCAAGCUGGUGAAGCCCUUUCUGCAUACAUUCAGGCACAUUCAGAGGUGCCCCACGUGGAGGUUCUGGAGCGGGUUUCUUCUAUCCUCAAGGAGUAUGGGUUUUGCCCAACUGGAGAAAUCGUUGAUGUUAAGAACCUCUGCCCUUACAACUGCAUAAUGUCGGAUGAAGAAUUAUACCACAAAGGGCUUAUGAAUUCAACCAAGGGAGUUACAGGAACGGAUAAUCCGUGUGCUACAAAGAAAUACAUGUACUGGAGCAUUCUAUCUUCACUUCUUGUUCUUUUGGCAAGUGCCUUGUGA